This is a long non-coding RNA of Equus caballus (horse), 2921 nucleotides long. The record is from Ensembl. Lineage: Eukaryota; Metazoa; Chordata; Mammalia; Perissodactyla; Equidae.
CACAGGUGAGGACCCUCCCACGCCUGGCGCAGCACUUACAGUUUACAGAGCACCUCCCUUCCUGGAGCAGAUGCUUCCACCGCGGGCAGCCAGCACCCGUGUCUCUCAGAGGCUGGCGCCGGGCCUGCGUUUACAGGGAGCUGGAAGUGCAUGACCUCCUGAGGGGAACUCACGUCCUCCAGUCACUGUUUUAGGAACUCUCCUCUGCUGAGCAGAGAAUGACUUGGAGUUGAGCAGGGAGACAGUGAGGCUGCGGCAAUGGUCCAGACAAGAGCUGACGGUAGCCGAUCCCGGGCGUGAUGUGGAGCUGCGGGAAGGAGAUGGACUCAUAAAUUUUCGACUGUGGGGCGUGAGGCGAGAGGAGGAAGCACGGGCGCUCCUGGGCUCCUGGCCUGAACGGGGCGAGGCUUCUAAGUGGGAGCAGCUGUGUCAGGGGCAGUUUUGCGUUUUAAAGGCCUGCUUCUGCCUGGGGCCUCUGUCUCAGCUCCCUGGCCCACUGGACCAGCUGAGACCUUGGUGGGCCAGCCCCUCCUCCCGCCUCUUCCUUUCGGAGAGAGGUUCUGGGAGCAGCUGCCCUCCAGGCCUACUCAGGCUUCAGAGACAACAUUCUGCUUGGACCCUAUAUGGAGGCCAUCAGCACCAGGCUCCUCCCUCCUCCUGGAGCUUUAUUCUCCACUCAUUCAGUCCUUCCAGGCAGCGGGACAUGAGGGAGACAGACCCUCUCAGGACUCCGGCUCUGGGAGCCCAGGCCCCAUGGCAAGCUGCCCCACUGGAGACUCAGCCAGCAGCCAGCACCAGCCACACAGCACACAAGUGAAGAAGCCUUCAGAAGAUUCCAGCCCCAGCCUCUGAGCCAACCCUGCUGACGCCAGCUGGAGUAGAGCUGAGCUGUCUCCACCAGGCCUGCCCAAAUUGCACAUUCACGCACGCAAUAAGUGUCGCUAUUUUAGGUCAUGACGUCGUGGGGUAGUGUGUUGUGCAGCAAGAGAUAACUGGAAUAAUAACCUUGAAUCCCAGCCCUGCCCUUACCAGCUGUGUGGGCUUGGCACAGUUGCUGAACCUCUCUGAGUCUUUGUCUUCAACUGUGGAAUAAAAAUAAGGAUACCCAUUAUGAAGUGUCCUCAGGAGAAAUCCUCGUAACACACAGAAGUGCCAACUCCCUUGUGAAGGGUCGCACAGACAGCGAGCAGACACAUGGAAGCUGGAGCCUGAGGUUUGUGCAAUGCAUAGGCCAGGGGUCUUUGUCCCAGACCCCGAAGCACUCCCUAAAGAGCCAAGCUGGAUUGGCCAAGGAAGGAUGAGGUGGGGUCUGAAGAAAUGGAUCAGUAGGCUGCGGAUUCCGUAGAAAUGGACCCAGAGGCUCAAUGCUUCAGGUCCAAGAUCCUGAGUGUGUCCACUGAAGGGACUGCCUCCUGCAGGCGUGGCCCAGAUGCGGUGCAGGCCCGUCCCACCCCGCGCAGCUCAGGACGUUGACCACUUCUCUUCCGGGGACGGCCGCCUCCGCCGCGGUUGCUCCCUGGACCUUAUAUCACCAGGACUUGGGAAGCAUGAGGCCCACAGACGAUUCUCUCUUUACCUCCCCACUUCUACCUCUCCCCCAAAACCUGCCCCGAAACCCACCAAGUCCUCAGGCCCCUCCGCACCUUCCUCUCUUCAGGCCACAGUUGAGGGGCUGUCUGCUGACCUACCACCUGACUCUGGCAAGACCCUUGGCCGGGCCAAGUCUCAGUUUCCUUACCUGUGCAGAGGGGGAAUGAUGAUGGCUGUGUGCUGAGUUCUCGUGAGGAUUAAAGAUAGUAAUAACGACCCAGAAGAACCUGGGCACGUCUAGGAGAUGCUGGAGGCUGGGGGCGGGGACAACCACAUGAAAAUCCCCUGCAGACGGAGCUUUGCUCCCAGGCCUCCAAGGACUCUCCACCUGCCCUCGCAGCGCCCAGGCAGAUCUCGGCUGGGCUGGUGACGUGGGCCACCACCGGAACCCUUGGCCACCCACAGUGUGGGAUGCUGCCUGUUGCCAGGCAACAGGCCUCAGCUCAGGCCCUGGGCCUCAGGGUCAGCCGCCCACCAGCUGGCCUGCUAUUUCUGGGCUGUGGGGGCUGCCAGUGGCCUCCUAGAUUUCUUUGAGCCUGGGAGGGAGGAGGGGACAGGCUGUACUUUGGGGACUCCGAACAAAGGAAGGCUAGGAUGUUUUGGAAAGAUUGCCCACCCUUCAGCAUCUUAAUUACAUCAACGUGAAAACUGAGGCUCACCCAGGGGAAGGGGCUUUCCCAAAGAGCCCAGCAAGGCCUAGAAGCCCGGCCUCCACAUCCCCACCUGGGGCUUCCAGGGGGAGGGGAGAGAGACAACACGGAGGAGUACAUUGGGACCUCGCGUGCGCCGAGCAGCAGCUAAUAGGACGUUACCCAGGGACGUAGAGAUGCGGCUCCCGGCCCGUCUGCAGAGGCCUGGAGAGGAGCUUGCUCGUCUGCAGCCGAAGGGGAGUGGGACUGAGGUUCCAUCCAGGAUUGGACACUUAAUUUGAUUGCUGCAUUCCUUUAGUGUCUGUUCCAGAAUGAAGAGUGCCCACUGUACCACCCACGGCACUUUUUUUUCUUUCAUGACAUUGACCUUUUUUAGAGACAGCUCAGUUGUCUUGUUGACUGUCUCUCCAUUUGGGCGGAUGUGAUUGUUUCCUCGUGGUUAGAUUUGGGUGGAACAUUCUGGGCAAUAACACUGCAGAGGUGAGGUCGCAUCCUCCCCAGUGCAUUAUGUAAGUAGGGCCCCGUGCCAGUUCGUCCCACCACCAGUGAUGCUAAAUGUGAUCAUUUGAUUAAAGUGGUUCUGACAGAUCUCUCAGUUGUAAAGCUAAUCCUUCUCUUUGUAAACAAUAAUUCAUCUGUGUAAUGAAUUAUGAUGUUUGAGACUGUGUGAAUAUCCUGUUC